CUGAUGUCUGAGGACUUUGGAGACGCGGAUAUGUGGGCCAGGUAUCAGAGGCAGCUGGAAGUGUCUAUUUCCUCCUGAGAUGGAGCUGAGAGUCGAUUACAGGCGCCGCUGCCGCUGCUGCACAAACACCCAUGACAGUUUACUACCGGCAAUUUCAGACAUCUCCUGCUCACGGCCUAAAUAUAGCAAAUGAAGAUAGCAGACAGGUUCCAGAGCUACAGUCAGGACGGCAGUGUGUGUGUGUGUGUGUGUGUGUGUGUGUGUGUGUGUGUGUGUGUUGUCUUGCCAAAGGGACAGAGCGGGGUCCACGCGCUUUGAAGUUGGAGACGUGAUGAGAGGCUGACGGCAUGAUGGAGAGAGAAGCAGCGCUGCUUCCUCUGCGUGGAGCUCCACACACACACACUCGCACACACACACACACACACUCGCACACGCAGAGAGAUAAACAACGUCUACUGAAGCAUCAGGUAGCGCCUCUGCUCCCGUCUGAAUUAGAGACAACAAACGUGCGCUCACUCUUUGAGGCUCACACGCCGCACGCAGAUUUCCGCAGCGCUGCCUCAGAGCUUUGCCCCCAGAUGACCUGGAUGACUUAUAACCGCCACUGAAUCAUCAGUCCUCGCUCCUCUCCCCCCUCCCCUCCCCACCGCUUCUCGCCAGACCCGGCCUGGACGGCGGAGUGGCGGCCAUGCGUUCAGAGGGAGCCGCCACCUCUGGCUGUUCCAGCAGGCUGCUUUGAAUUAGAGCCCCCUCCCUGCUGGGAUGCAAGCCUGUACUUCCUGUUUGGGGGGAAUUUCAGCUCAUGCGUGUGCGUGUGUGUGAGCUCGCCAGCAGCGGCCCAUCCGUUUGUGGGGGCUCUCCCUACAAUGAAGUCCAGAUGCAUUUCAAAAAAACGGAGAGAAAAAAUAAAAAAAAGGA
Poecilia latipinna (sailfin molly) is the source of this 918-nucleotide long non-coding RNA. RefSeq lists it as uncharacterized. The record is from RefSeq and is a predicted model, not a curated record. The transcript is spliced from 2 exons. Lineage: Eukaryota; Metazoa; Chordata; Actinopteri; Cyprinodontiformes; Poeciliidae.